This 455-nucleotide long non-coding RNA is filed under the name Hordeum vulgare. RNAcentral describes it as "long non-coding RNA (HVUL_LNC020473)". The record is from RNAcentral. Lineage: Eukaryota; Viridiplantae; Streptophyta; Magnoliopsida; Poales; Poaceae.
GGUUGUCAUACACAUGUGAUGCACUGAUGCUUGCACACAACCAUCGAGAAGUACUAGGUUGUCAUGUUCAAAAAAUACUUGUUAGAAUAUAACAUAUUUUGUUGAAUUAAAAUUCAUAGUUGCGCACAUAGUUGCCAGAUUUUAAACAUGUUUAAUUGUCAUAUUAAAAUUAUUUGGUUGUCAAAAUUAACAUGUUAAGUUGCCAAAAAUACAAGUACUUGGUUGCCUAUUUUGUAAAAGCUUAGUUGCAUACUUAGUUGCCAGAUUUUAAAAUAAGUUAGUUGCCAAAAUUAUACAAUCACUUAAUUGUGAGGAUUAAACAUGGUUAGUUGACAAAAAUACAAGCACUUAGUUCCCUAUGUUUAAGCUUUCGUUACAUACUUAGUUGUCAGAUUUUAAAACAUAUUUAGUUGUGAGGAUUAAAGAUGUUUAAUUGCCAAAAAAUAGGUGCUUGU